UAAUCUGACGCGGGGAGCUGGAAACGGCUGAGAGGAAGCGCUGAGCUUCGACCCGGGACCUGAAUUGGAUAAUGCCAACGGAGGGAUGUAAGAUGCGCGAACG
This 103-nucleotide non-coding RNA is filed under the name Pyramidobacter piscolens. Its description in RNAcentral is "TPP sequence". It matches the Rfam family "TPP riboswitch aptamer (THI element)". From Rfam's summary of the family: Vitamin B(1) in its active form thiamin pyrophosphate (TPP) is an essential coenzyme that is synthesised by coupling of pyrimidine and thiazole moieties in bacteria. The previously detected thiamin-regulatory element, thi box was extended, resulting in a new, highly conserved RNA secondary structure, the THI element, which is widely distributed in eubacteria and also occurs in some archaea. Lineage: Bacteria; Thermotogati; Synergistota; Synergistia; Synergistales; Dethiosulfovibrionaceae. The record is from RNAcentral.